RNAcentral lists this ribosomal RNA (468 nucleotides) under uncultured bacterium. RNAcentral's name for it is "partial 16S ribosomal RNA". It matches the Rfam family "Bacterial small subunit ribosomal RNA", at positions 28 to 507 of the family's 1533-position model. The record is from RNAcentral.
GACGAACGCUGGCGGCGUGCUUAACACAUGCAAGUCGAACGGCAAGGCCCUGCUUUUGUGGGGUGCUGGGGUGCCGAACGGGUGAGUAACACGUGAGUAACCUGCCCUUGACUUUGGGAUAACUUCAGGUAACUGGGCCUAAUCCCGGAUAGGAGCUCCUGCUCCAUGGUGGGGAUUGGAACGUUUCGGCGGGUGGGGAUGGACUCGCGGCUUAUCAGCUUGUUGGUGGGGUAGUGGCUGACCAAGGCUUUGACGGGUAGCCGGCCUGAGAGGGUGACCGGCCACAUUGGGACUGAGAUACGGCCCAGACUGCUACGGGAGGCAGCAGUGGGGAAUAUUGCACAAUGGGCGGAAGCCUGAGGCAGCAACGCCGCGUGCGGGAUGACGGCUUUCGGGUUGUAAACCGCUUUCGCCUGAGACGAAGCGUGAGUGACGGUAAUGGGUAAAGAAGCACCGGCUAACUACGUG